AGAACACCAAGUGCAGGCAUGGCCACCUACCCCAACAAAUACAGCUGGCAAAAAAAAAUCCAAAUUCAAGUGUAUAGGGGACAUGUACACCAACAAUAGAAUAUAUAUAUAUGGACAACACAUAUCAAAGAACCAAUGUUACAGUAAGCCAUCUGUCACAGAGCGCCUUUGUCACUGCCCGGUGAACUACAGCUGGAUUCCCAUACCUACUCCAAAAGGCACGACAACAACAGGAGCCUUUGCCUUGGGAGAAUCCAGUUGGAAAAGACCCUGACUGUUCAAGUGCCCAGAUCCCAAAGUCUCUGAACUAAGAUGCUCCAGCAGUGACGUUUUAUCUUGUUUUAUCUAGUUUAUGGUUUUGCAUCGCACUUGUCAUUGCAAUGUUAGAAAGUACCAGGGAAAUGGACUAGUGAGCAGCAGAUGGGCGAGAUGAUAAAACAAAAAUUCAUCUGAAUGUCAAAUCUAUGAGCUAUAUAAAUGCAGCACCUUAUUUUUCAUGAAAAGACAGCACCAGUCUACCAUAUUAAUUUUUUAUACCUUGAUUACCACCACCAAUGCCUCUCAUCUCUGAGACAGUGGCUUGGGAUUCUGAGCCUAUUAUGUUGCUUGGAAUCAUAGGUCUGAUUCUAGUCCUCCUGAAGUCAAUGUGAGUCUUUCCACUUAAUUCAGCUGGACUCGGAUAAAGCUGUCUGUGAUUUUCAUCCAUUCCUUAAGGUGAAGAUCUACUCUGAAAAGUGACUGUCAACAUGACCAUGAACUGUCAUGAUGACUGUAGGUAAGUGACUUCUAGGUCAGACUUUAUUUAAGUUUACAAGCAAAGAAUUGUUGUUUUCCGUCAACAGGACAAACUGUUCUUUAUUGCUCAAGCUUCAUCAUCAGUAAUAAAGAUUUAGGAAGCAAAAAUUCUGACCUGUUCGAUAUUAAUGCUUUCAGUAGAAUUAUACAAGUGUAACUGAGGGCAGAAUUGGGCAGUUGGAACUUAGUUUACAUUCUGUUGAUGUGUGAGCCAGAAAAGAGUUCAGCUCUUUCCUGUAGAUGUGAUCGUUCUGCAGUGCUACCAGGAAUAAAAGAUAAUUAAAAUGUAUUUUUGUCAUGGAAGCAAGUAGAUGUGACUCACCCAGGGAACAGUUCUGCUGAGUUAAAAGAUGCCAUUUUUAUUUAGUCACCAUAACUGCACUAUUAUGCAAGAACAAAGUGGCAUAGACUUAACCCUGCACUCAUUAGGCCUGAUUCAUAUCUUCCCUGCACCUUGUAUAGUCAUUUACACCAUUGCAAUAGUCAACUGUUCUGAUCUGAUACCAUUUAAUAUAUAUGCUGCACUGACUCUGCACUAGUGUAGAGGUUGCACACCGGGCAAAGGAGUGGGGAAUUAGACCCACUGUUUACAUUUUAAUCCAAAGGACAUAGAAGCCAAACAUCCUUCUCCCCAUCCACCAUGCUCUGCCGUUAACAUCAGUUAGUUUUUGUAAAACUUUCCCCAGGAAGCUGAGCACAUUAUCUGUACAACACUCCAACACAUUGCUAGAAACAUUCCAC
Long non-coding RNA from Dermochelys coriacea (leatherback sea turtle), 1536 nucleotides. RefSeq lists it as uncharacterized. The transcript has 4 exons. The record is from RefSeq and is a predicted model, not a curated record. NCBI's taxonomy places the organism in Eukaryota, Metazoa, Chordata, Testudines, Dermochelyidae.